This 546-nucleotide ribosomal RNA is filed under the name Salmonella enterica subsp. enterica serovar Kentucky. RNAcentral describes it as "partial 23S ribosomal RNA". It matches the Rfam family "Bacterial large subunit ribosomal RNA", at positions 1233 to 1772 of the family's 2925-position model. Lineage: Bacteria; Pseudomonadati; Pseudomonadota; Gammaproteobacteria; Enterobacterales; Enterobacteriaceae. The record is from RNAcentral.
GGAGCGUUCUGUAAGCCUGUGAAGGUGGCCUGUGAGGGUUGCUGGAGGUAUCAGAAGUGCGAAUGCUGACAUAAGUAACGAUAAAGCGGGUGAAAAGCCCGCUCGCCGGAAGACCAAGGGUUCCUGUCCAACGUUAAUCGGGGCAGGGUGAGUCGACCCCUAAGGCGAGGCCGAAAGGCGUAGUCGAUGGGAAACGGGUUAAUAUUCCCGUACUUGGUGUUACUGCGAAGGGGGGACGGAGAAGGCUAUGUUGGCCGGGCGACGGUUGUCCCGGUUUAAGCGUGUAGGUGUGUGUUCCAGGUAAAUCCGGUUCACUUUAACACUGAGGCGUGAUGACGAGGCACUACGGUGCUGAAGCAACAAAUGCCCUGCUUCCAGGAAAAGCCUCUAAGCAUCAGGUAACAUCAAAUCGUACCCCAAACCGACACAGGUGGUCAGGUAGAGAAUACCAAGGCGCUUGAGAGAACUCGGGUGAAGGAACUAGGCAAAAUGGUGCCGUAACUUCGGGAGAAGGCACGCUGACACGUAGGUGAAGUGAUUUACUCA